CCUCCGGGAGGCUGCAGUGAGGAAUAUGGGGCAAGGGGCGAGAGCCUGAACCAGAAAAGGAGCGUGAGGGACGACGGUCCUACGGAGUGUAAACCUCUUUUGUCGGGGAACAAAGGCGCCCACGGGUGGGCGGAUGAGUGUACCCGAAGAAAAAGCAUCGGCUAACUCCGUGCCAGCAGCCGCGGUAAUACGGAGGAUGCAAGCAUUAUCCGGAUUUAUUGGGUUUAAAGGGUGCGUAGGCGGACAGUCAAGUCAGCGGUAAAAAUGCGGUGCUCAACGCCGUACAGCCGUUGAAACUGGCAGUCUUGAGUGGGCGAGAAGUAUGCGGAAUGCGUGGUGUAGCGGUGAAAUGCAUAGAUAUCACGCAGAACUCCGAUUGCGAAGGCAGCAUACCGGCGCCCUACUGACGCUGAGGCACGAAAGCGUGGGUAUCGAACAGGAUUAGAUACCCGAGUAGUC
RNAcentral lists this ribosomal RNA (459 nucleotides) under uncultured bacterium. Its description in RNAcentral is "partial 16S ribosomal RNA". It matches the Rfam family "Bacterial small subunit ribosomal RNA", at positions 338 to 795 of the family's 1533-position model. The record is from RNAcentral.